Molecule: ribosomal RNA, 449 nt
Filed under: uncultured bacterium
Lineage: Bacteria
Description: bacterial SSU rRNA
Rfam family: Bacterial small subunit ribosomal RNA
Source: RNAcentral
AAGCCAGACUCCUACGGGAGGCAGCAGUGGGGAAUAUUGCACAAUGGGGGAAACCCUGAUGCAGCGACGCCGCGUGAGUGAAGAAGUAUUUCGGUAUGUAAAGCUCUAUCAGCAGGGAAGAAAAUGACGGUACCUGACUAAGAAGCCCCGGCUAACUACGUGCCAGCAGCCGCGGUAAUACGUAGGGGGCAAGCGUUAUCCGGAUUUACUGGGUGUAAAGGGAGCGUAGACGGCAUGGCAAGUCAGAUGUGAAAGCCCGGGGCUCAACCCCGGGACUGCAUUUGAAACUGUCAGGCUGGAGUGCAGGAGAGGUAAGUGGAAUUCCUAGUGUAGCGAUGAAAUGCGUAGAUAUUAGGAGGAACACCAGUGGCGAAGGCGGCUUACUGGACUGUAACUGACGUUGAGGCUCGAAAGCGUGGGGAGCAAACAGGAUUAGAUACCCUUGUAAA